This 64-nucleotide transfer RNA is filed under the name Parankylopteryx sp. YJ-2017. RNAcentral's name for it is "tRNA-Thr". It matches the Rfam family "tRNA". Rfam says of the family: Transfer RNA (tRNA) molecules are approximately 80 nucleotides in length. Their secondary structure includes four short double-helical elements and three loops (D, anti-codon, and T loops). Lineage: Eukaryota; Metazoa; Arthropoda; Insecta; Neuroptera; Chrysopidae. The record is from RNAcentral.
GUUUUAAUAGUUUAAAUAAAACAUAAGUUUUGUAAACUUAAAUUAAGAUUUUUCUUUUAAAACU